This 320-nucleotide ribosomal RNA is filed under the name uncultured Bacteroidales bacterium. Its description in RNAcentral is "partial 16S ribosomal RNA". Lineage: Bacteria; Pseudomonadati; Bacteroidota; Bacteroidia; Bacteroidales. The record is from RNAcentral.
GGAGUCUGGUCCGUGUCUCAGUACCAGUGUGGGGGGACCUUCCUCUCAGAACCCCUACGCAUCGUCGCCUUGGUGGGCCGUUACCCCGCCAACAAGCUAAUGCGCCGCAUGCCCAUCCCGGACCGACGGAUCUUUCACCCUAAGGACAUGCGUCCUCAGGGCAUAUGGGGUAUUAGACCCAGUUUCCCGGGUUUAUCCCCCUGUCCGGGGCAGGUCGCAUACGUGUUACUCACCCGUGCGCCGGUCGCCAUCACAGAUAGCAAGCUACCUGCAUGCUGCCCCUCGACUUGCAUGUGUUAAGCCUGUAGCUAGCGUUCAUC